Molecule: unclassified non-coding RNA, 335 nt
Filed under: Leionema ellipticum
Lineage: Eukaryota; Viridiplantae; Streptophyta; Magnoliopsida; Sapindales; Rutaceae
Description: partial external transcribed spacer
Source: RNAcentral
UCCUGUGUUGCUUACCCACGUAAUGGAAUUCGAUGGAUUUGCUAUAUUGAUCCGCCAUGUGCCCUUUGGGGUAUGGGGUGGACGUGAGACGGGCUCUGUGUUCCCGACAUGCUAAGCGUGUUGUCGCUUUGUUGUUGUGGCCCAUGGAGUCUUGGCUUGUUAUCUAGGAUGCGGAAUGCUACGCAUGGGCGUGAGGUCUUGGCCUCGAUUCGUCCAAGCACUAUCCCUUGACUCAAACGACUGCUGCGCUUGUCUUGAUCUUCCCGACCAAGGCCCCUAAUGGGGCUUACUGGAUGAGGGUUGCUCAUGCGGGUGUCGGUGUCGAAGAGGAAUGC